RNAcentral lists this ribosomal RNA (459 nucleotides) under uncultured bacterium. Its description in RNAcentral is "partial 16S ribosomal RNA". It matches the Rfam family "Bacterial small subunit ribosomal RNA", at positions 339 to 795 of the family's 1533-position model. The record is from RNAcentral.
CUACGGGUGGCACCAGUGAGGAAUAUUGCGCAAUGGACGAAAGUCUGACGCAGCCAUGCCGCGUGCAGGAUGACGGCGCUAUGCGUUGUAAACUGCUUUUAUAUGCCAAGAAACCUUCGGACGUGUCCGAAGCUGACGGUAGCAUAUGAAUAAGCACCGGCUAACUCCGUGCCAGCAGCCGCGGUAAUACGGGGGGUGCAAGCGUUAUCCGGAUUUAUUGGGUUUAAAGGGUCCGUAGGCGGAUCAUUAAGUCAGUGGUGAAAGCCGGCAGCUCAACUGUCGAACUGCCAUUGAUACUGGUGAUCUUGAGUACGGUUGAAGUUGGCGGAAUAGGUCAUGUAGCGGUGAAAUGCUUAGAUAUGACCUAGAACACCGAUUGCGAAGGCAGCCAACUAAGCCGUUAUUGACGCUGAGGGACGAAAGCGUGGGGAGCGAACAGGAUUAGAUACCCCCGUAGUC